Molecule: non-coding RNA, 84 nt
Organism: Meloidogyne enterolobii
Lineage: Eukaryota; Metazoa; Nematoda; Chromadorea; Rhabditida; Meloidogynidae
Source: the annotation of a GenBank genome assembly
CAUUCGUGUCCUCGUUAGCUCAAUUGGUAGAGCGUCAGACUUUUAAUCUGAAGGUUACGGGAUCGAGACCCGUACGGGGCUAGC